This is a long non-coding RNA of Beta vulgaris subsp. vulgaris (sugar beet), 1367 nucleotides long. RefSeq lists it as uncharacterized. The transcript has 2 exons. Lineage: Eukaryota; Viridiplantae; Streptophyta; Magnoliopsida; Caryophyllales; Amaranthaceae. The record is from RefSeq and is a predicted model, not a curated record.
UUUAUAUGACUUACCAUGUAUUAUUAAAUAUUUAGUAUUAUGGUUCCCCUCAAAAAAAAAAAUAUUUAGUAUUAUGGUUGUUUAUUUAUAGUUUUCGAAUUUGAAAUUGGUCCAAUUCUAGGUAUAUAAUAAAAUUGGCCAAAAUUAAAGUUUCCAAUUUAGGAGUAAAAAGUUAUCGUUCCAAAUUUCACUUUAUCUUUUAUUUGAACAAGUCAACUCUCACUCCUCCUAGAGUAAAUAGAGAUAUAUAUAGAAAUCCAUUGUAACAAAUAUGAAUUCAUUGAUUCACUCAAAUUUUUAUAAUAGAACAGCUAGAUAGCAAUCAAAAGCCUAUACAAAUCUAGAACAAUUUGAAUAUUUGAUGGGUUAAUGUGUACUUGUGUAGAUACAUACUAAUGUGUACUUGUGUAUUUCGUUUCAUGUUGAAGUCAUAUAUAGCUGCAUACAUUAUACAUAUAGUGACUAGUGUGGUCCAUGAAACAUCAUUACAUUAAUUAAACAAAAUAACAAAUCUUCUUCUUUUCUCUCUCUCUCCUCUGCAAUAGUCUACAACUCUACAUUAGCUUCACUAGUUCACUGUAUACUGUAUAGUAGUAGCAAGCUUGAAGAAGCUAAGAAAAUGGCGCAAGGAAGUAAGCUUGAAGAAGCUAAAAAAAUGGCGCAAGGACUCCAACAACAUCAAUCAACUUCACCAUCUCAAUUUUCAUGGCUAUAUCUCCGACGGCUCGUCAAUCAAUCAACUUGAAUUUUCAUGGCUAUACCAACACAGAGCACCAUGAACAGAACCAGCCACCAAGCCCGGUCAACCCGUCCAGCCCACUUGAAACCGCUCCAGCCCGUCAUUAACCGUGAAACCCGUCAGCCCAGCCCAGACCGCCACAUUAACCGUCAAAAACCGGUCCAGACCGAGGUGGGCCGACCUUCUAGGACCACCAACACAGCCCGCCCAGCCCGUCUAAUUCGCGGUCCGGUCAUGGGCCCCGUUUCGUCAGCCCAGCCCACCUAAGCCCGCGGCCCAGCCCAUCCAGACCGCACCACUCGCCACCUCUACUAGAGAAGGGUGUUUUCAAGAGUAAAUAUUCAUUAACUCACAUAUUAAUGAACUUGGGUUCGGUUUCAAGAGUAGUGGGAAGAAAUAAUAUUUACAAAAAAAUAAUACGUUGACCAACUUAUAUUCGUCUACUAUUUUAACUAAUAUUAUAUUCACUUACUUAUAUCAUGUUCGUCUACUAUAAUAUAAAAUUCACUAUAUAUUAUUCGUCUACUUCUAUAUUAUAUCAUAUCGUGGAGGUUUAUAUAUGUGUAAUACUCACAAUUCUAUAUCAUAUUAUAGUAUAUUCAUAGUAUUAGUAUUAUACUAUUUUCAA